UGGGGAAUAUUGCACAAUGGGCGCAAGCCUGAUGCAGCAAUGCCGCGUGAGUGAAGACGGCCUUAGGGUUGUAAAACUCUUUCGCUAGGGAAGAUAAUGACGGUACCUAGUAAAGAAGUCCCGGCUAACUCCGUGCCAGCAGCCGCGGUAAUACGGAGGGGACUAGCGUUGUUCGGAAUUACUGGGCGUAAAGCGCACGUAGGCGGACCAGAAAGUUGGGGGUGAAAUCCCGGGGGCUCAACCCCGGAACUGCCUCCAAAACUAUUGGUCUAGAGUUCGAGAGAGGUGAGUGGAAUUCCAAGUGUAGAGGUGAAAUUCGUAGAUAUUUGGAGGAACACCAGUGGCGAAGGCGGCUCACUGGCUCGAUACUGACGCUGAGGUGCGAAAGUGUGGGGAGCAAACAGGAGUUAG
This 411-nucleotide ribosomal RNA is filed under the name uncultured bacterium. Its description in RNAcentral is "bacterial SSU rRNA". It matches the Rfam family "Bacterial small subunit ribosomal RNA", at positions 355 to 781 of the family's 1533-position model. The record is from RNAcentral.